AGAGCGAACGCUGGCGGCAGGCCUGACACAUGCAAGUCGAGCGCGUGUAGCAAUACACGAGCGGCAGACGGGAGAGUAACACGUGGGAACGCGCCCUUCGGUUCGGAAUAACCCAGGGAAACUUGAGCUAAUACCGGAUACGCCCUUACGGGGAAAGAUUUAUUGCCGAAGGAACGGCCCGCGUCCGAUUAGCUAGUUGGUGAGGUAACGGCUCACCAAGGCGACGAUCGGUAGCUGGUCUGAGAGGAUGACCAGCCUCACUGGGACUGAGACACGGCCCAGACUCCUACGGGAGGCAGCAGUGGGGAAUAUUGGACAAUGGGCGCAAGCCUGAUCCAGCCAUGCCGCGUGGAUGAUGAAGGCCUUAGGGUUGUAAAGUCCUUUUAACGGGGAAGAUAAUGACGGUACCCGUAGAAUAAGCCCCGGCUAACUUCGUGCCAGCAGCCGC
RNAcentral lists this ribosomal RNA (448 nucleotides) under uncultured bacterium. RNAcentral's name for it is "SSU rRNA". It matches the Rfam family "Bacterial small subunit ribosomal RNA", at positions 26 to 518 of the family's 1533-position model. The record is from RNAcentral.